CAGCCAUGCCGCGUGAAGGAUGAAGGCCCUCUGGGUUGUAAACUUCUUUUAUCUGGGACGAAAAAAGGGUAUUCUUACUCACUUGACGGUACCAGAGGAAUAAGCACCGGCUAACUCCGUGCCAGCAGCCGCGGUAAUACGGAGGGUGCAAGCGUUAUCCGGAUUCACUGGGUUUAAAGGGAGCGUAGGUGGGCUGAUAAGUCAGUGGUGAAAUCUCCGGGCUUAACCCGGAAACUGCCAUUGAUACUAUCAGUCUUGAAUUAUCUGGAGGUAAGCGGAAUAUGUCAUGUAGCGGUGAAAUGCUUAGAUAUGACAUAGAACACCAAUUGCGAAGGCAGCUUGCUACGGAUUGAUUGACACUGAGGCUCGAAAGCGUGGGGAUCAAACAGGAUUAGAUACCCUGGUAGUCCACGCCCUAAACGAUGGAUACUCGACAUCAGCGAUACACUGUUGGUGUCUGAGCGAAAGCAUUAA
This 474-nucleotide ribosomal RNA is filed under the name Ferruginibacter sp. RNAcentral describes it as "bacterial SSU rRNA". It matches the Rfam family "Bacterial small subunit ribosomal RNA", at positions 389 to 863 of the family's 1533-position model. Lineage: Bacteria; Pseudomonadati; Bacteroidota; Chitinophagia; Chitinophagales; Chitinophagaceae. The record is from RNAcentral.